Molecule: long non-coding RNA, 871 nt
Filed under: Volvox carteri
Lineage: Eukaryota; Viridiplantae; Chlorophyta; Chlorophyceae; Chlamydomonadales; Volvocaceae
Description: long non-coding RNA (VCAR_LNC000313)
Source: RNAcentral
ACCCACCAUCGGCGCCAAACCCCGUGGUGCCGUCUUGCCAGCCGCCUUUGGCACGCCCAUCGCAUGCCCAUCGCAUGCAGCCACACGCCUGUACAAAAAUCUACUCUAGCCAACGUCUGGACCAAAUAGCACCAAACAACACGACGCUUGUCUUAACACCCCGUGAUAGGAUAUGCCUAGGCGUCCAACCAAAAUAUUCAGCCAACUAAGGUCGCUAACCUCCAGGAAUAAAGCUGUACACCACAAACGCACACGCACACGCACGCGCACACAUUCUCCGCCAAGGUAAGCCUUCAAGAACAGGCCACCUGUACCGCCUUUGCCAUGUAACUUACAGAUUAGCAAGCUACGGACUGGCCCUGGUAAGAGCCAGCAAGCUACACCCAAUCCCAAAGUUGUCUACCAACAACGCCUAGCCCUAUUUUGGUGCCUUCCACACAAAUUGCUUGCCACGAAGCUCCUCCCCGGCCUUGGCUUGGACGGCAGUAGGGCAGAUGCACGCUACCCAUCAGCGGCCCUGCGCCGCGCGUAUAUCGAGGAUGGACGCACGAAAACCGGUUCCCGCCGCUGCCGCCGUGGAUAGCAGGCCGCGCGCAAUGCUGCUCGCCCCUGUCCCUGUCCCACCUGCCCAUCCUCCAGACGUCGGUCGCCCCGGGAUGUGUCUUUCGCCCUGCAGGACCCCCCCCCCUGCCAUCCGCCCACUGACUGCUGCCUGCUGUUGUCCCAAGCUGGCUUGUGUGCUCCCUGCCCCAUCCCCAACAUUAACCUUCCCACCGGUAGCCUGGGGUGAUGAGCCCCAAGCCCAGUUCCUGCCCUUGGCUGAAGCAUGCCGUGCCCCGGGUGUCGUGCCACUAAUCCAGAAGGGAACCGC